RNAcentral lists this ribosomal RNA (253 nucleotides) under uncultured bacterium. RNAcentral describes it as "partial 16S ribosomal RNA". It matches the Rfam family "Bacterial small subunit ribosomal RNA", at positions 524 to 776 of the family's 1533-position model. The record is from RNAcentral.
UACGUAGGGUGCGAGCGUUACUCGGAAUUACUGGGCGUAAAGCGUGCGCAGGCGGUUUUGUAAGCCAGAUGUGAAAUCCCCGGGCUUAACCUGGGAAUGGCAUUUGGGACUGCAAGGCUUGAGUGCGGCAGAGGAGACUAGAAUUCCUGGUGUAGCAGUGAAAUGCGUAGAUAUCCGGAGGAACACCAGUGGCGAAGGCGGCUUUCUGGACCGACACUGACGCUGAUGCGCGAAAGCUAGGGGAGCAAACGGG